GACUUUCCAAGGUGUCUAAAGAUUUUGGACACCCAGUUUCUAAUGGGAAUUGGAUACCCAAAUCGCUUUAGCAAAUCGUCAUCUGAAUCCCCUAAGUGACUGUGAAAAUCACACCUGUGGCAGGAUAUCAUUAUGGAAGACAGCUAAAGAAGACCUGCUUACCUUGUGAGAAGAGAUGGCAUCAUAGCACAAGGUGAUAUGGCUGUGAAUGGACUCUGGAAAAGAGACAUUGCACAUGCUCCAUAAUCUGUCUAGUCCAUAUCAUUUUCAUUCCAUGCCUGAGGAAUGAAGAAGGACUUGUCGUAGUGGGCACUCCUUUCCAAGCCUGAGGAAAGCCUAAAGAAGAUACCUUAUGCAUCAUGGGGAGUGAGGAACCAGGUUCCAACGUGUUCAGCUCUGUAAAUAUGCAGUUGUCAAGCUCCUCAAGGCUGCUUCAUUUUACAGGUCUACUUGUUGAGAAAGUAACUGGAUACAGGAAUUCACGUAACUGAGUGGGAUUCCAGGUGUGCACAUCUGCCUUCCAGUUCUUGCCUUCCCCAGAGCAAUGCUGGCUGGUUGACAGCGGAGAGCAAAUCAAACUGUUUAGGAGGGGCUGUGACUCGCAAUGGGGAAGUUGCUGCAUAGCACCCACGUCUAGCCCUUGUGGAUUUUGCAGUAUUGAGCCUUUAAAAUUGUGAGUAGUGCAGGACUGAAUGCUAUCCAUCUUACACCUCAGACCAAUAUAACUGUGGGGGAGAAAAUAAAAAAAUCUGCCAGAGAAGUGUUUCUUCCUCCUCUCUUUGAAGUGGCAGCUGUUUGGAACUGCUCCCAAACUUUGGAAUGUUAGGAGAAAUCCUCAGGGAGAUGGAUUAGCAUGUAGGGGGCAGGUGAGGUGGUCAGGGGUGAAUGAUAAAAUGCAACUUGUAUCCUGGCUAGGCAAUUUAUCAUAUAGGUAUUGCCACCACUUAAUGUGUGUGAAUUUUGUAUAUAUAAAUGGUGUUUACUGACAAGUGUUGUCUUAUUGCUAUUCAUUUAACUGCUCAGCAAAGAGCUCACUAUCUGUAGCUAUCAAAUAAAUUUAAGUAACUUACUAAGCCUCCAUUGUGGCUUUUGGUUGUUUUAAGCUGGCUCUGUUCUUGCCUCACCGACAGGUCUCAGAAGGUGGGCUGGGUGUCAUUCACAUAUUGCAGCCUGCACUGUUUCAGUCUCUCCUGGUGGCCUCCUGUAUGGGAUGAGGGACAAGGGAAGUGAGGAGCUCUUUCCCUCUUGGCAUCCUCGGGGAGAGCCUUUGGGGAAAAGGAGCAGCUCCCAUCAUGCACCCCUACGUAGACCCUAUCUGUGAUUGUAGCUAACAAAAAGCAAGAACAUGAUCACCAGAAAACAAAACACAGCAAUAGUUAAUACCCCACCAGACAUACUUCUACCCAAGGUUAUUCUGUGAGCACCUCUGGAGCCCCAGUCCUACUCCCACCAGCUUCAGUGAGAGCAGGCUUAAGUCCUAGGUAUGCAGCUCUUCCCCAGUGGAACCUCUGAGUCUUCAUAUUUGCAUAAGUCCUAGUUUUCUUCAAGAAACCUCUAUGUCAGUGUAGCAUAUUCCAGGUACCGGUGUACCACUCACAGGGCUUGCCGACACAGGAAGUUGGUGCACAGCAAGCUAGGGUAUGAAUUUACAGUGCACUAGGUACUCCAUACGAACUCUCUGUGUGGACAUUCUUACUGCACACUAGAAGUGUCCUUGGUCAGUUUAGCUUGGUACACUUGAAAAUGUGUUAAGCUAACAUGCACAAAGGCACUUUUAGCGUAUGGAGUGUCCACAUAGUAAGUGCAGAGUAGCAAGGGCACUGUAAAUUCACAGGCUGCUGCACACUAACUUCCCUGUAUAGACAAGCCCUAAGCUCCUGAUCUCAGAAGUGGCCCUCUCAUUUUAGAAGCCCACCCCAAAUUUGAAACACCCUGGUUUAUAAAAAUGCAACCCCAUCACCAGUUUUCCCCCAUCCACUUACAGAAAAAGAGUGAGCAGGCUAGCCAUCAAAGAGAGAAAGAAGCAGACACUCUGUUCACACAGAGUAGUCCUUUUAGCGCUAUGUUCCCAAAUCAAGAGUUGUAGAAAAGAAACUGGCAUAGCCUCUGAAACAAUAGCUUUCUUUUGUUAACCACUGUAGGACCCUCAGGGAAAGACAUAAAAAAGAGGAAGCCUCAACCUGUCCUCUUGCUCCACCUCCACUUUCAGGGAGCCACAGAAAAACAAAGUCUUCUGCAUCAGUGGUUCUCAAACCAAGGCCGCCACUUGUUCAGGGAAAGCCCCUGGCAGGCCGGGCCCAUUUGUUUACCUGCU
This is a long non-coding RNA of Chelonia mydas (Green sea turtle), 2314 nucleotides long. RefSeq lists it as uncharacterized. The transcript has 4 exons. The record is from RefSeq and is a predicted model, not a curated record. Lineage: Eukaryota; Metazoa; Chordata; Testudines; Cheloniidae.